GGGUGAGUAACGCGUGGGUAACCUGCCGUAUACAGGGGGAUAACACUUAGAAAUAGGUGCUAAAACCGCAUAAGCGCACAGGAUCGCAUGGUCUGGUGUGAAAAACUCCGGUGAUAUACGAUGGACCCGCGUCUGAUUAGCUUGUUGGCGGGGUAGAGGCCCACCAAGGCGACGAUCAGUAGCCGGCCUGAGAGGGUGAACGGCCACAUUGGGACUGAGACACGGCCCAAACUCCUACGGGAGGCAGCAGUGGGGAAUAUUGCACAAUGGGGGAAACCCUGAUGCAGCGACGCCGCGUGAGUGAAGAAGUAUUUCGGUAUGUAAAGCUCUAUCAGCAGGAAAGAAAAUGACGGUACCUGACUAAGAAGCCCCGGCUAACUACGUGCCAGCAGCCGCGGUAAUACGUAGGGGGCAAGCGUUAUCCGGAUUUACUGGGUGUAAAGGGAGCGUAGACGGUGAAGCAAGUCUGAAGUGAAAGGCGGGGGCUCAACCCCCGGACUGCUUUGGAAACUGUUUGACUGGAGUGCAGGAGAGGUAAGUGGAAUUCCUAGUGUAGCGGUGAAAUGCGUAGAUAUUAGGAGGAACACCAGUGACGAAGGCGGCUUACUGGACUGUAACUGACGUUGAGGCUCGAAAGCGUGGGGAGCAAACAGGAUUAGAUACCCUGGUAGUCCACGCGGUAA
RNAcentral lists this ribosomal RNA (683 nucleotides) under uncultured bacterium. RNAcentral's name for it is "bacterial SSU rRNA". It matches the Rfam family "Bacterial small subunit ribosomal RNA", at positions 104 to 805 of the family's 1533-position model. The record is from RNAcentral.